UACGUAGGGGGCUAGCGUUGUCCGGAAUCAUUGGGCGUAAAGCGCGUGUAGGCGGUCCGGUAAGUCCGCUGUGAAAGUCGGGGGCUCAACCCUCGAAUGCCGGUGGAUACUGUCGGGCUAGAGUGCGGAAGAGGCGAGUGGAAUUCCUGGUGUAGCGGUGAAAUGCGCAGAUAUCAGGAAGAACACCCGUGGCGAAGGCGGUUCUCUGGGACGGUACUGACGCUGAGACGCGAAAGCGUGGGGAGCGAACAGG
RNAcentral lists this ribosomal RNA (253 nucleotides) under uncultured bacterium. RNAcentral describes it as "partial 16S ribosomal RNA". It matches the Rfam family "Bacterial small subunit ribosomal RNA", at positions 524 to 776 of the family's 1533-position model. The record is from RNAcentral.